CCUACGGGGGGCAGCAGUGGGGAAUAUUGGACAAUGGGGGCAACCCUGAUCCAGCCAUGCCGCGUGUGUGAAGAAGGCCCUCGGGUUGUAAAGCACUUUCAGUGAGGAAGAACGCCUGGUGGUUAAUACCCAUCAGGAAAGACAUCACUCACAGAAGAAGCACCGGCUAACUCCGUGCCAGCAGCCGCGGUAAUACGGAGGGUGCGAGCGUUAAUCGGAAUUACUGGGCGUAAAGCGCGCGUAGGUGGCUUGAUAAGCCGGUUGUGAAAGCCCCGGGCUCAACCUGGGAACGGCAUCCGGAACUGUCAAGCUAGAGUGCAGGAGAGGAAGGUAGAAUUCCCGGUGUAGCGGUGAAAUGCGUAGAGAUUGGGAGGAAUACCAGUGGCGAAGGCGGCCUUCUGGACUGACACUGACACUGAGGUGCGAAAGCGUGGGUAGCAAACAGGAUUAGAUACCCUAGUAGUC
This 465-nucleotide ribosomal RNA is filed under the name Vreelandella stevensii. Its description in RNAcentral is "partial 16S ribosomal RNA". It matches the Rfam family "Bacterial small subunit ribosomal RNA", at positions 338 to 795 of the family's 1533-position model. The record is from RNAcentral. Lineage: Bacteria; Pseudomonadati; Pseudomonadota; Gammaproteobacteria; Oceanospirillales; Halomonadaceae.